UUACAAUUAAAGGAUAUUUCUCGUGAUCGCAAAAACAUCGGAAAUAUCUUUUAAUUGUUUGGU
This is a non-coding RNA of Tetraodon nigroviridis (spotted green pufferfish), 63 nucleotides long. Lineage: Eukaryota; Metazoa; Chordata; Actinopteri; Tetraodontiformes; Tetraodontidae. The record is from Rfam.